RNAcentral lists this long non-coding RNA (1104 nucleotides) under Anser brachyrhynchus (Pink-footed goose). Its description in RNAcentral is "lncRNA (ENSABRG00000003378.1)". Lineage: Eukaryota; Metazoa; Chordata; Aves; Anseriformes; Anatidae. The record is from RNAcentral.
AUGCAAUGCAGCCCGGACAAUGCCCGCCGCAGCCCCGCCGCCUUUGUGCGAAAUGGAAAAACUUCGGCAGGGGGAACGGGACGGCCGCCGGCGGCCCCUCCAGCUGCCCCAGCGCAGAAAGUCCCCAAGAGGGUCCCCAGCACCCACGGGGUCCCCAGCACCCAUGGGGUCCCCGUCCGUGGGACCGAUGGCAGCUUGGAUGCCCCGAUGCCAUCGGGGUGGGCACAGAGGCUGCUGAACCCCAGCCCCAUCUGCGAGGAAACGACCCCCCAGGACCCACGGGGACAUUGCUGGGCCCGGCACCCCCUCGCCGCGCACGGGGCUGGGGACACCGAAAAUUUGGUGGCUUCCCAGCGGCACCGAGCACCGCCCGUCGAGGCCGCUCCUAUUGCUGAUGCUAAUUCGGGCAUCCCGGCAGGAGGAGGGAGCGGUGUAAAAUCAGUCCUCAAAGGGGCUUUUGUGUUGGCAGGGCUGGGGUGCUCCGAGCAUCCAUCUUUCGCCUUUCCCUCCUUUUUUUUGUGUGCCUGCCUGGAGCUGAAAGGCGACGCUGUGGGGGCUGCGAGGCUCUCGGGGCCCCCGAAUUCGUUCCAGGGAGGUGCUGACACCGGGGUUUGUGCAGCCCCCGCGGCCGCUGCGAGGGCCGGGGGACCUUGGAGGGGUCAGGACCCUGGUGGUGCCCAGCCAGCAAAGGUGCUGAGGGGCUCUGCUCACGGCGGGGGGCACCCAGCAGCCAGGAUCGGGGUGCUGGGGGCUUUUUGGCACCGUAGCCCACGAGUUCUGCCCGUCGGUGUAGGGGAUGCUCGGCUCCAGGCAAUGGGGGCACACGGGGGGCUGCGUGCUCGGGCUGUCCUGGGGGUGUUUUUGGGGGGGAUGCCGCUGCCCCCUCCCCAGUACCCCAACCCACGAGGGAUGCUCGGGGCACGGGCGGAAGCGACAUCUAGCGGGAAGCGCAUCCCGUCGCCCGGGAGCUCCAAUAUCCAUGGCAACCCCUCGGGGCCCUCAGCACCCUGCCUGGACCAGGGGCACCCACCAGCACCCUGGGACCCCCCCCCCCCCGUGGGGGGAAGCAGGUGCUGCUGGCAAGGCAGGGCUGCCCCAGCAUGA